GACGAACGCUGGCGGCGUGCUUAACACAUGCAAGUCGAACGGAAAGGCCCUGCUUUUGUGGGGUGCUCGAGUGGCGAACGGGUGAGUAACACGUGAGUAACCUGCCCUUGACUUUGGGAUAACUUCAGGAAACUGGGGCUACUACCGGAUAGGAGCUCCCGCUGCAUGGUGGGGGUUGGAAAGUUUCGGCGGUUGGGGAUGGACUCGCGGCUUAUCAGCUUGUUGGUUGGGUAGUGGUUUACCAAGGCUUUGACGGGUAGCCGGCCUGGGAGGGUGACCGGCCACAUUGGGACUGAGAUACGGCCCAGACUCCUACGGGAGGCAGCAGUGGGGAAUAUUGCACAAUGGGCGGAAGCCUGAUGCAGCAACGCCGCGUGCGGGAUGACGGCCUUCGGGUUGUAAACCGCUUUCGCCUGUGACGAAGCGUGAGUGACGGUAAUGGGUAAAGAAGCACCGGCUAACUACGUG
This 468-nucleotide ribosomal RNA is filed under the name uncultured bacterium. Its description in RNAcentral is "partial 16S ribosomal RNA". It matches the Rfam family "Bacterial small subunit ribosomal RNA", at positions 28 to 507 of the family's 1533-position model. The record is from RNAcentral.